GUGAAUCAUCGAAUCUUUGAACGCAUAUUGCACUCUCUGGUAUUCCGGAGAGUAUGCCUGUUUGAGGGUAAUUAAAAACAAUAAGUAAACAAUGGUGUUGGGCAAAGGAAAUGAGAGCUACGCGUUUAUAGCGGUAGCGUGAAAGAAAUGGUCAAGUCGCAUGUUAGUGGAGAGGCGAAAUAAGAUUAUGUCGCGAAAUCUUUAUUAGGUGACUAUCAAGUUUUGAUGCAUACAAAUGUGGGUGGUAUGCGAUCAAUUCAAAUAU
RNAcentral lists this unclassified non-coding RNA (265 nucleotides) under Glomeromycota sp. RNAcentral describes it as "partial contains 5.8S ribosomal RNA and internal transcribed spacer 2". The stretch from base 1 to 71 matches the Rfam family "5.8S ribosomal RNA", at positions 84 to 154 of the family's 154-position model. Lineage: Eukaryota; Fungi; Glomeromycota. The record is from RNAcentral.